RNAcentral lists this long non-coding RNA (326 nucleotides) under Homo sapiens (human). RNAcentral's name for it is "HSALNT0146249". The record is from RNAcentral. Lineage: Eukaryota; Metazoa; Chordata; Mammalia; Primates; Hominidae.
AGGGCCGUUUAGGGUGUGUGUUGAAAAAUCAAUAAGAGCUUACCAUGCGGCUUGAGUAAAGGCUAGGAGGAUCCAUGUGUGUAGAGCUCCUUGCUGGGGGUGUGGUUUCAGGGUGAAGUGCCAAUGGGGAGGAUGAGGGAGGAGGAGAAAUAAGAUGAGGCUGGACCCAGGUGGGCAUUUAUGUAAUUGUCAAAAUCAGAAUUUAUCCGAAGCAGAGUGAAUGGGAAGGGGAGUGUAGACCUGGAACAGGAACUCUUUCUGGAUGCUUCACUGAAGAGGAGAGAGAUUGAGUGAUGGUGAGCGGGAGGAACAAUGGUCAAGGGAGG